GCGGACAUAGCUCAAUUGGUUAGAGCGCCGGACUGUGACUCCGGAGGUUGCCGGUUCGAUCCCGGUUGUCCGCC
Molecule: transfer RNA, 74 nt
Filed under: Corallococcus soli
Lineage: Bacteria; Pseudomonadati; Myxococcota; Myxococcia; Myxococcales; Myxococcaceae
Also listed under: 1 other name
Description: tRNA-His(gtg)
Rfam family: tRNA
About the family: Transfer RNA (tRNA) molecules are approximately 80 nucleotides in length. Their secondary structure includes four short double-helical elements and three loops (D, anti-codon, and T loops). Further hydrogen bonds mediate the characteristic L-shaped molecular structure. tRNAs have two regions of fundamental functional importance: the anti-codon, which is responsible for specific mRNA codon recognition, and the 3' end, to which the tRNAs corresponding amino acid is attached (by aminoacyl-tRNA synthetases). tRNAs cope with the degeneracy of the genetic code in two manners: having more than one tRNA (with a specific anti-codon) for a particular amino acid; and 'wobble' base-pairing, i.e. permitting non-standard base-pairing at the 3rd anti-codon position.
Source: RNAcentral